GACGAACGCUGGCGGCGUGCUUAACACGUGCAAGUCGAGCGGUAAGGCCCUUUCGGGGGUACGACGAGCGGCGAACGGGUGAGUAACACGUGGGUGACCUGCCCUCAGCUCUGGGAUAAGCCUGGGAAACCGGGUCUAAUACUGGAUAUGACUCCAUGACGCAUGUUGUGGGGUGGAAAGCCUUGUGCGGCUGAGGAUGGGCCCGCGGCCUAUCAGCUUGUUGGUGGGGUGAGGCCUACCAAGGCGACGACGGGUAGCCGGCCUGAGAGGGCGACCGGCCACACUGGGACUGAGACA
RNAcentral lists this ribosomal RNA (297 nucleotides) under uncultured bacterium. Its description in RNAcentral is "partial 16S ribosomal RNA". It matches the Rfam family "Bacterial small subunit ribosomal RNA", at positions 28 to 326 of the family's 1533-position model. The record is from RNAcentral.